RNAcentral lists this transfer RNA (57 nucleotides) under Marmota marmota marmota (Alpine marmot). It matches the Rfam family "tRNA", at positions 9 to 63 of the family's 71-position model. Rfam says of the family: Transfer RNA (tRNA) molecules are approximately 80 nucleotides in length. Their secondary structure includes four short double-helical elements and three loops (D, anti-codon, and T loops). Lineage: Eukaryota; Metazoa; Chordata; Mammalia; Rodentia; Sciuridae. The record is from Rfam by way of RNAcentral. RNAcentral also lists the same sequence under 1 other name.
GGCUCAAUUGGUAGAGUGCUUGCCUUGCAUGCACAAGGGCCUGGGUUCAAUUCCCAG